Molecule: ribosomal RNA, 460 nt
Filed under: uncultured bacterium
Lineage: Bacteria
Description: partial 16S ribosomal RNA
Rfam family: Bacterial small subunit ribosomal RNA
Source: RNAcentral
CCUACGGGAGGCAGCAGUGAGGAAUAUUGGUCAAUGGACGAGAGUCUGAACCAGCCAAGUAGCGUGAAGGAUGACUGCCCUAUGGGUUGUAAACUUCUUUUAUAAAGGAAUAAAACGAGGCACGUGUGCCUUUUUGCAUGUACUUUAUGAAUAAGGAUCGGCUAACUCCGUGCCAGCAGCCGCGGUAAUACGGAGGAUCCGAGCGUUAUCCGGAUUUAUUGGGUUUAAAGGGAGCGUAGAUGGGUUGUUAAGUAAGUUGCGAAAGUUUGCGGCUCAACCGUAAAAUUGCAAUUGAUACUGGCAGUCUUGAGUACAGUUGAGGUAGGCGGAAUUCGUGGUGUAGAGGUGAAAUGCUUAGAUAUCGCGAAGAACCCCGAUUGCGAAGGCAGCUUACUAAACUGUGACUGACAUUGAUGCUCGAAAGUGUGGGUAUCAAACAGGAUUAGAUACCCUAGUAGUC